This 3294-nucleotide long non-coding RNA is filed under the name Salmo salar (Atlantic salmon). RNAcentral describes it as "lncRNA (ENSSSAG00000098019.1)". The record is from RNAcentral. Lineage: Eukaryota; Metazoa; Chordata; Actinopteri; Salmoniformes; Salmonidae.
CCUCCCUGAGCCGCUGACCCCCCUCCCUGAGCCGCUGACCCCCUCCCUGAGCCGCUAGCCUGCUGACCCCCUCCCUGAGCCGCUAGCCCGCUGACCAUGCAGCUAUUGCUCCAGGCUACAAACAGCUGCCGCUCCGCUCGUCUCCCUGAAUUCAACACGGUACAUUCAUUCAUUUUAGAAAGAAGAACACACUAACAUUUUGACAAGUCAUUUUAAAUGUUUUUAAAUCUGCAACAACAGAACAUCUGAAAUGGGCAUCUGAAAUGGGUACACAACAGAACAUCUGAAAUGGGUACCCAACAGAACAUCUGAAAUGGGUACCCAACAGAACAUCUGAAAUGGGCAUCUGAAAUGGGUACACAACAGAACAUCUGAAAUGGGUACACAACAGAACAACAGAACAUCUGAAAUGGGUACACAACAGAACAACAGAACAUCUGAAAUGGGUACACGACAGAACAUCUGAAAUGGGUACCCAACAGAACAACAGAACAUCUGAAAUGGGUACCCAACAGAACAUCUGAAAUGGGUACACAACAGAACAUCUGAAAUGGGUACACAACAGAACAACAGAACAUCUGAAAUGGGUACACGACAGAACAUCUGAAAUGGGUACCCAACAGAACAACAGAACAUCUGAAAUGGGUACCCAACAGAACAUCUGAAAUGGGUACCCAACAGAACAUCUGAAAUGGGUACACAACAGAACAUCUGAAAUGGGUACCCAACAGAACAUCUGAAAUGGGUACCCAACAGAACAUCUGAAAUGGGUACCCAACAGAACAUCUGAAAUGGGCAUCUGAAAUGGGUACACAACAGAACAUCUGAAAUGGGUACACAACAGAACAACAGAACAUCUGAAAUGGGUACACGACAGAACAUCUGAAAUGGGUACCCAACAGAACAACAGAACAUCUGAAAUGGGUACCCAACAGAACAUCUGAAAUGGGUACACAACAGAACAUCUGAAAUGGGUACCCAACAGAACAUCUGAAAUGGGUACACAACAGAACAUCUGAAAUGGGUACCCAACAGAACAUCUGAAAUGGGUACCCAACAGAACAUCUGAAAUGGGUACCCGACAGAACAUCUGAAAUGGGUACCCAACAGAACAGAACAUCUGAAAUGGGUACACGACAGAACAUCUGAAAUGGGUACCCAACAGAACAGAACAUCUGAAAUGGGUACCCAACAGAACAUCUGAAAUGGGUACCCAACAGAACAGAACAUCUGAAAUGGGUACCCAACAGAACAGAACAUCUGAAAUGGGUACCCAACAGAACAUCUGAAAUGGGUACACAACAGAACAUCUGAAAUGGGUACCCAACAGAACAUCUGAAAUGGGUACACAACAGAACAUCUGAAAUGGGUACACAACAGAACAGUGUAGAUCCAAAAGCUGAACUCCAAAGGCACAUCUGACAAAGAUGCUGCUUGUCUUCUCUCCACUGUGAGCAGAUGGAAGGGUGCUCUGCUGACUGGCUGGCUGGCUGGCUGGCUGGCUGGCUGGCUGGCUGCAUGUUACAGAGCAUUAGACUGCUGAUUACUGCAGAUGGAAGGGUGCUCCACUGGCUGGCUGGCUGGCUGACUGGCUGGCUGGCUGCAUGUUACAGAGCAUUAUACUUCUGAUUACUGCAGAUGGAAGGGUGCUCUGCUGGCUGGCUGGCUGACUGGCUGGGGCAUUUUCAUAACUUCUGGUCAUUUCUUCAAAAGACAAAUGUUUUUACACAAUUACUUUGCAUUUACCUUGAAUUGCAGUACUGUAUAAUACCCAUUUAGUAUUGUGCACAUUGUAAGUUGCUUCAUUCAUCAUUGUUUUCAUACACAGAACUGAGGCAACUUCCAAAACUAGCAUUGUAUUUCUAGACAGAGAAUGGAUGGUAAAGACUCCUUGAACCCCCAGAGGAAAUAGUUUUUUUUUUGGAUUGUUAUACACUUGGUUAAUAUUCUGAUAUGCAGCAUGCGUUAAUCUACUUUAAUAUCAGGAUGGUAAAAGCUGUAAUACAAAGUGUUGUUUUUCUGAAUAGCAUCUGGGGCUAACGCUAGCCCAGUCAAUUCAAGUCGUUAUGUCUCCUAGCUUGGAAUUCAUUGUCCCCCUUCCCCAUUUUUUUUUUUAAAUUUCUAACCCGGGUACAAAUCAACCUCUAUUGGCCAGUCAAACCGCCUGGAAAAGUAGUCAUACAUUGUUAUGGGUGUUAUCUGUCUUUUUUUUUAUUUUAAUGGUUCUGCCAGCCUGGAGAAUGGACCUGGACGCAGCACACGGACCCAGAAGGGGAAUGCUUGAAAGAUAUCUUGUACAUUGGACCUAUGAAUCAAUGUUUUAAAAGCUAAAUAGUUCACAGCAUUUCAACAUUUACUUGCCAGUCAACUAAAGCUAAAACACUUCCAGGUUGUGUGUGUGUGUGUGUGUGUGUGUGUGUGUGUGUGUGUGUGUGUGUGUGUGUGUGUGUGUGUGUGUGUGUGUGUGUGUGUGUGUGUGUGUGUGUGUGUGUGUGUGUGUGUGAGAGAGAGAGGGGGAGAGAGAGAGAGGGAGAGAGAGAUACCUAGUAACAGUAGGUAGAGAUGUGAUAUUAUAAAAGAGAGAGGGAGAGAGAGAUACCUAGUAACAGUAGGUAGAGAUGUGAUAUUAUAAAAGGUAUUUGGAGAGAGAGAUACCUAGUAACAGUAGGUAGAGACGUGAUAUUAUACCGAGAGAACUUGAGAGAAAGAAAGAGGUGGGUUUUGGGUCCAUAACGCUCCCCAGUACGUUCAGCAGCUUCUGAGUCGUGUUGUCCAACGUUGCAUAGAUCCUGUCUGUUACGUCGGGACGCUUCGGCGUACGACAGGAAGGUGCACGCCAGAACGAAGGGGUCGAGUUCGAGAACAUCAUCAAAACAACGCGAUGUAAUCAUGGGUAAAUUAAGACUUGACCUACCAAAAUAAUAUUUAGUCUUUAUUUAUGACGGAAAGGUGAUUUUUCCAGUCUGGAUUCGUUUUUAAAGUCGGCUUGCGAUGUUGAUAGGCGUCUUACGACCGUCCCAUUAUGGCGCCUUAUUCCCUCCAUAGUGCACUAGGUAAAUAGGGGCCUAUUUGGGACGUGCUCCAGCAGGGCCAGACGAGGUCAGAUGUACUUGUUGGCCAGGUUCUGCACGUCGUUCUUACUGAAGGCAUCACUGUCCACGGCGGACAGACGGUCAAACAGUCGAGUCAUCUGAUCACGUUCACUCUUCUCCAGGAGCAUCACGACGACCUGUUAAUACACAGAGACAGAGGUUAACACGACGACCUGUUAAUACACAGAGACAGAGGUUAACA